This 498-nucleotide ribosomal RNA is filed under the name uncultured bacterium. Its description in RNAcentral is "partial 16S ribosomal RNA". It matches the Rfam family "Bacterial small subunit ribosomal RNA", at positions 30 to 523 of the family's 1533-position model. The record is from RNAcentral.
AUUGAACGCUGGCGGCAUGCUUUACACAUGCAAGUCGAACGGUAACAGGCCGCAAGGUGCUGACGAGUGGCGAACGGGUGAGUAAUGCAUCGGAACGUGCCCAGUCGUGGGGGAUAACGCAGCGAAAGCUGUGCUAAUACCGCAUACGAUAUAUGGAUGAAAGCGGGGGACCGUAAGGCCUCGCGAGGUUGGAGCGGCCGAUGUCAGAUUAGGUAGUUGGUGGGGUAAAGGCUCACCAAGCCAACGAUCUGUAGCUGGUCUGAGAGGACGACCAGCCACACUGGGACUGAGACACGGCCCAGACUCCUACGGGAGGCAGCAGUGGGGAAUUUUGGACAAUGAGCGCAAGCCUGAUCCAGCAAUGCCGCGUGCAGGAAGAAGGCCUUCGGGUUGUAAACUGCUUUUGUACGGAACGAAAAGGUUUGGGUUAAUACCCUGGGCCGAUGACGGUACCGUAAGAAUAAGCACCAGCUAACUACGUGCCAGCCGCCGCCGUAA